ACACAUGCAAGUCGAACGGAAAGGCCCCAGCUUGCUGGGGUACUCGAGUGGCGAACGGGUGAGUAACACGUGGGUGAUCUGCCCUGCACUCUGGGAUAAGCCUGGGAAACUGGGUCUAAUACCGGAUAGGACCGUGCUUUAGUGUGUGCGGUGGAAAGUUUUUCGGUGCAGGAUGAGCCCGCGGCCUAUCAGCUUGUUGGUGGGGUAAUGGCCUACCAAGGCGGCGACGGGUAGCCGGCCUGAGAGGGUGUACGGCCACAUUGGGACUGAGACACGGCCCAGACUCCUACGGGAGGCAGCAGUGGGGAAUAUUGCACAAUGGGCGCAAGCCUGAUGCAGCGACGCCGCGUGGGGGAUGACGGCCUUCGGGUUGUAAACCCCUUUCGGCAGGGACGAAGCUUUUGUGACGGUACCUGCAUAAGAAGCACCGGCUAACUACGUGCCAGCAGCCGCGGUAAUACGUAGGGUGCGAGCGUUGUCCGGAAUUACUGGGCGUAAAGAGCUCGUAGGUGGUUUGUCGCGUCGUCUGUGAAAUCCCGGGGCUUAACUCCGGGCGUGCAGGCGAUACGGGCAUAACUUGAGUGCUGUAGGGGAGACUGGAAUUCCUGGUGUAGCGGUGAAAUGCGCAGAUAUCAGGAGGAACACCGAUGGCGAAGGCAGGUCUCUGGGCAGUAACUGACGCUGAGGAGCGAAAGCAUGGGUAGCGAACAGGAUUAGAUACCCU
Molecule: ribosomal RNA, 724 nt
Filed under: Corynebacterium bovis
Lineage: Bacteria; Bacillati; Actinomycetota; Actinomycetes; Mycobacteriales; Corynebacteriaceae
Description: bacterial SSU rRNA
Rfam family: Bacterial small subunit ribosomal RNA
Source: RNAcentral